UCCCCUAUCCGUUUAGGGUGUCCCUACUGUAGCAUGCAUUCCUGGUUAACGGGAAGGUGUGAAGCCUACAGGACAAUGUGGAGAAGAAUAGAACCCUGAUCUAUACAAUCUGCUAGGGAAAAAGCCGCCAUGGAG
Molecule: non-coding RNA, 135 nt
Organism: Methanosarcina acetivorans
Lineage: Archaea; Methanobacteriati; Methanobacteriota; Methanomicrobia; Methanosarcinales; Methanosarcinaceae
Source: Rfam